This 1047-nucleotide ribosomal RNA is filed under the name Triticum aestivum (bread wheat). Its description in RNAcentral is "partial small subunit ribosomal RNA". Lineage: Eukaryota; Viridiplantae; Streptophyta; Magnoliopsida; Poales; Poaceae. The record is from RNAcentral.
AUGCCAGAAGAAUGGAGACGGAGUAUAUUAGUACCAAUCUUCAAGAACAAGGGGGGUGUUCAAAGUUGUACUAAUUACCGUGGAAUUAAGCUGAUGAGCCAUACAAUGAAGCUAUGGGAGAGAGUCAUUGAGCACCGCUUAAGAAGAAUGACAAGCGUGACCAAAAACCAGUUUGGUUUCAUGCCUGGGAGGUCGACCAUGGAAGCCAUUUUCUUGGUACGACAGCUUAUGGAGAGAUAUAGGGAGCAAAAGAAGGACUUGCAUAUGGUGUUCAUUGACUUGGAGAAGGCCUAUGAUAAGAUACCGCGGAAUGUCAUGUGGUGGGCCUUGGAGAAACACAAAGUCCCAGCAAAGUACAUUACCCUCAUCAUGGACAUGUACGAUAAUGUUGUGACAAGUGUUCGAACAAGUGAUGUUGACACUGAUGACUUCCCGAUUAAGAUAGGACUGCAUCGGGGGUCAGCUUUGAGCCCUUAUCUUUUUGCAUUGGUGAUGGAUGAGGUCACAAGGGAUAUACAAGGAGAUAUCCCAUGGUGUAUGCUCUUUGCGGAUGAUGUGGUGCUAUUUGACGAUAGUCGGGCGGGGGUAAAUAGGAAGUUAGAGUUAUGGAGACAAACCUUGGAAUCGAAAGGGUUUAGGCUUAGUAGGACUAAAACUGAGUACAUGAUGUGCGGUUUCAGUACUACUAGGUGUGAGGAGGAGGAGGUUAGCCUUGAUGGUCAGGUGGUACCUCGGAAGGACACCUUUCGGUAUUUGGGGUCAAUGCUGCAGGAGGAUGGGGGUAUUGAUGAAGAUGUGAACCAUCGGAUGAAAGCCGGAUGGAUGAAGUGGCGCCAAGCUUCUGGCAUUCUCUGUGACAAGAGAGUGCCACAAAAGCUAAAAGGCAAGUUCUACAGGACGGCGGUUCGACUCGCAAUGUUGUAUGGAGCUGAGUGUUGGCCGACUAAAAGGCGACAUGUUCAACAGUUAGGUGUGGCGGAGAUGCGUAUGUUGAGAUGGAUGUGUGGCCACACGAGGAAGGAUCGAGUCCGGAAUGAUGAUAUAUGA